RNAcentral lists this ribosomal RNA (460 nucleotides) under uncultured bacterium. Its description in RNAcentral is "partial 16S ribosomal RNA". It matches the Rfam family "Bacterial small subunit ribosomal RNA", at positions 338 to 795 of the family's 1533-position model. The record is from RNAcentral.
CCUACGGGAGGCAGCAGUGAGGAAUAUUGCUCAAUGGACGAGAGUCUGAACCAGCCAAGUAGCGUGAAGGAUGACUGCCCUAUGGGUUGUAAACUUCUUUUAUAUGGGAAUAAAAUGUUCCACGUGUGGGAUUUUGUAUGUACCAUAUGUAUAAGGAUCGGCUAACCCAGUGCCAGCAGCCGAGUGAAUACGGAGGAUCCGAGCGUUAUCUGGAUUUAUUGGGUGUAAAGGGAGCGUAGGGGGAUUGUUAAGUCAGUUGUGAAAGCUUGCGGCUCAACCGUAAAAUUGCAGUUGAAACUGGCAAUCUAGAGUACAGUAGAGGUGAGUGGAAUUCGAGGUGUAGCGGUGAAAUGCUUAGAUAUCACGAAGAACUCCGAUUGCGAAGGCAGUUCACUGGACUGCAACUGACACUGAGGCGCGAAAGUGUGGGUAUCAAACAGGAUUAGAUACCCCAGUAGUC